UUUUUUUUUUUUUUUUUUUGGUCUUUUUAGGGCCUCACCCGCAGCAUAUGGAAGUUCCCAGAUUAGGGGUCGAAUCAGAGCUGCAGCUGCCAGCCUACACCCCAGCUACCACAACACCAGAUCCGAACCGCAUCUGCAACCUACACCACAGCUUAUUGCAACACCGGAUCCUUAACCCAUUGAGUGGGGCCAGGGAUUAUCCUCAUGGAUACUAGUCGUUUUGUUAUCGCUGACCCGCAACGGGAACUCCUAUUCUAAUUAUUUUAAAGUAGCCACAUGUGGCUAGUGGUGACUGAACUGGAGGGCAAUGUCGCCCUUGAAAUUCCUGCAGCAUGUCAUGAUGGCUCUCUGCCACGGGCAUGACCCAUCCCCGCACAUAAAAAAACACCUGCCGAUCCCCAAAUAGGGUGUUUGUUUGUGCCUCUGGACUCCUACACAUGUUGCUCCUCUAGACUGGACUUAACACUCUUAGCCUGGCUGGCAGACUCUUCUUUAUCCCUUAAACCCACCCCAGGUGUCUCCUCUUCUCGGAAGUCUUCCCUGAUUUUCCUGCUCUCCUCCCCAUUCAUGACAGCCUCUGUACUGGCACGGCAGGUACGGAGGCUGUGCUCAUGGUACUGCAGUGGGUUAUGAGUCUGUCUUUUCCACAAUGGAAAGCAGUAGAUAGAGUGUGGUGGCAAGAGUGAACAAGGAAACAGCUGCCUAGUGUCAAAUCCUGGCUCCAACACUUAUUAGUAGCUUUAUAACCUCAGGUAAGCAAGUUACAGGACCUCUGCGCUCCAUGAACCAUCUGUAAAAAUCAAGGUUUUUUUGGGGUUUUUUUUCCCUCUCUUUUCUUUUCCGGCCGCACCUGCAGCAUAUGGAAGUUCCUGGGCCAGGGACUGAAUCCAAGCCACAGCUGAGACCUACAGCAAUUCCAGACGCAAGGCACCCUGUGUCACCUGCACGUGCAGCAAUUCCACAUCCUUAACCCACUACGCUGGGCCAGGGAUCAAACCUGUGCUACAGUAGAGACAAUGCUGGGUCCUUAACCCCCUGCACCACAGCAGGAACUCUGAAAAUCAAGUUACUAAUGGUAACUUCGUUGUGGUUUUUGCAACAACUAAAUGACCAAACACAGAUAAAACAUUACCAGGUUGCCUGGAAAGGAGCAAGGAAUUAAUAACACUGAGUGAGGCCUUGUGCAUUAUUUCUAAUUAAGUUAUCAGACUAUACAUCUUCAACAAGGUACUAGGUCUUUUUGCCUUUUUUCUUUUUAUAGCUACACCUGCAACAUACGGAAGUUCAGAGCUGCAGCUGCUGGCCGAUGCCACAGCCACAGCAAUUUGGGAUCCAGGCCAUUGUCUUUGAACUACACUGCAGCUUGUGCUAACUCCGAAUCCUUAACCCACUGAGCGAGGCCAGGGAUCGAACCCACAUCCUUUCGGACACUAUGUCAGGUUCUUAACCUGCUGAGCCACAGUGGAAACUCCCAGGAAUGUACUAGGUCUCAGCCAUCUCUGUAAGCCAGAGUCAGCAAAUGCACUCAGAGUCACAGUAUGCACUCAUGAAAGUGUAUUCACCCUCAACUGAGUUCUGAAUACACUCCAUAAUACUCAACAGCCUUGUUCUAAAUGUCAAACUCAAGAGACUAAAAAGAGAUCUUAGCAGAGGCAAGGGCAGAAGAAUGAGGUCUCAGAUCAAAGGUAUUUAUGGGGGCAUUUAUCUCCCUAUGUCCCACCAGACCCUCUCUCCAUGCCCAACCUGGCCAAAUCUUGACCAAAAUGUUCCUGAUGGAGCUAAGCCUUAUCCCGAAAGUUUGGGGAGCAGUAGCACAAAGCUCAAGUGCCAGGGUCGAACAUUAUUAUAAGGGCUAUGGAUCAGCAACUCUAAGCUCUGAAAACUCUGUUCCCACUACGUUCCCCUCAAAGUUCUAGUUCUUCCGUCCCCCUCUUUUCCUAAGUGGAUAUCUGGGUAAGUGUUGAGAGGGAACCUUCAAUUUACCAAAACAGUCCUACACACCUAGAUUCUAGUGGUUCUCCACCUGUGCCCCUGGACCUGAACGAGAGGGAUCUUUUGAGUCCCUCUGAGGCUCCCAGGUUUCACUGAAGGCAAAUAAAGAUUAGCAGCAGGUGCAACAAACGUUAAAAAUGAUUCGUGUUCAAUCUAUAGGCUUUUUAGCCCAUGUAGGGUCUCAAAGGGACUGCUCAGUCCCUGAUUUCAGUGGCUUCCUCCUGCUACAGGGCUCCCUGGCACAGGCCCUCAGCCAGGAGGUUAAAGGGGCAACAUCAGGGAGCAUGGGAUACACAGCAAGCGCAUCUCUAAUGGGGCUUUCUCCUUGGCUCCUUGUACACGCAGAAUGACGUCAGCUUCCACUUCAGGGUAAAGCAGCACCAGAAUGCAGGUGAUGGACCUUCCUGGAGGAUCCUGGGUAGGAGGUUUCAAGGAUAACCAGGUGCAUGACUGAGUAGUGCACGGAACAUCUAACGAGAGGUCUGGGCUGGGAAAUUUGUCUGCUGCUUGAAUUUGGAUGCAUCACCUUCCCUCUCUGGGCUUCAGUUUCCUUGUAUAUAAAAUUAGGGGGUGCUUUCCAUACUGUCUUUAUUUUUAAGGAGUAAAAAAGCCUUCAUUUGGCCCAAAUGAAAUCUUAUGGGAGAAACUCCAAGAUAUAAAACAUACAAGUGGAGCAGUAUAUCGGUAGCAUUUAUGAAGUCCCACCUACUUAAGCCUCUCUCCCUAUUUCAAGUUUCUUAGAUCUUUCUAAGAUCGAACCAAAUGGGAACAUUCUAGGAUGUUACUGAUGGUGGACCUUAUGACACCUCUUGAUAUGGCAUGGAUAAAAAAUGAUGAUUGAUGAUCUCCUUUUUAAAAAAUUAUUGUGAAAAAUGCCCCCCAAAAUUGAAAAAUGUUCAAAACAAGAAGGAAUCCCCUAUAUACUUAAGACUCAGCAUCAACAAUUACCAAGUCUUCUUUUGGCUCUAUCCCACCCAGUCUCUAGAUUAUUUUGAAGCAAAUCUCAAAUGUAUUACCCAUCUAGUUAAAAAUAUUUCAAUACGGUUAUCUAAAAGAUAAAGAUUUUGAAACACUACAAGUCAGUUUCAUGAUCACACUAAGAAAAAAAAAGGCAUUAAUUCUUCAACAUCAUCUGACAUCCAAGGUCACUGCUCCACGAUGCUUUUUCUCUUAUAAUUAAUUUAAUGAAGAACUGAGUCAUGUUUCUAUAGAGUUUCCCACUGCCUGGAUUUUCAUAAUCGCUUCUCUGUUUAUCAUUUAAUAAAAGUCCUGCCCUCUCUAUUUCUGAUGAUUUCAGAGUUAGAUCCAGGAUCCUGACUAUAUUCAAGUUCCAUAAGAAAGCACAUAACAUAUAGUUGUUUCACUUUUGUAUUGUUGGCAGCCUUUGAUGGCUACUUUGUAUAUCAGAUUUUUUUUUUAGCUUCUUAUGUAACUUCCAGAAUGUUUCAUACAUAAACACACAAGGUUUUGUUUUAAAUUUUUACCCAAAUUGCAUUAAACCCUGCUACAUGUGCAGCAUAUGGAAGUUUCCAGGCUAGGGGUUAAAUUGGAACUACAGCUGCCAGCCUACACCACAGCCACAGCAACAAGGGAUCAGAGCUACAUCUGUGACGUACACCACAACUUAUGGCAACGCCAGAUCCUUAACCCUCUGGGUGAGGCCAGGAAUCCUCAUGGAUACUAGUGCGGGUUUGUUUCCGCUAAGCCACAAGGGAUCUACCCUACUACUGUUCUGAAACCUUUUAUUUAACAAUGUGAGAUUAUUAAUUUUUUAAAAAUUGAAAUUCUGUAAGAUACGCUUCACAUAUUAAUAAAUAAUUUAAAUUUUGGCAUAUGUCCAGAAUAGUGCUUAUUCUAUUAUAUUCCAUAUAUAUAUAAAGCUAUGUGUGUGUAUAUACAAACACAUGUAUACACAUAUAUAUCCAUAGUGCUUUAUAUAUAAAGCAACUGAUNAAAGUUUUUUUUUUUUUUUUUUUUUUUUUUUUUGGCUUUUCAGGGUCACACCGCCAGCAUAUGAAGGUUCCCAGGCUAGGGGUCUAAUCAGAGCUAUAGCUACUGGCCUACACCACAGGCACAACAACUCGGGAUCUGAGCCAUGUCUGAGACCAACACCACAGCUCAUGGCAACACUGGAUCCUUAACCUGCUGAGUGAGGCCAGGGAUGGAACCUGUCACCUAAUGGUUCCCAGUUGGAUUCGUUUCCGGUGCACCACGAUGGGAACUCCAUGAUAAAUAGUUCUUGAAAUAAUAAGCAAAACUAGUAAUCCAGUGGAUUUCUAAGACGUAGUGGUAUACUCUCAAUUCACACAAGAGAUUAAUUAAUUCACACCAGAUGUACUGUGUGACACACCCAAAUCUUCUAAAAAUGUCCACUGGCUUCUCAGAUUAUACAUUAGGAAAAGCCAAGCAAAUCCUAUGCCUCACAUCACAUUUGGUCUUUUUUCUUUCAUUAACCAACUGCCUAAAACCCCGCAUGACUCCAUCUUUUACUGCCUUAACUCCCCCAUUCAUCAGUUUUCUCCUCCCCUAAAUAGCCUAAGCAUAAACCACAGCCCCCGAUCAAUAAUCAAACCAGUAAUUCCUGCCGCCCCCACUAAUGCUAACUGGCGGUUACAAAAUUAGCAGCUUGUUUCUAUGUAGCAGAAUCUAAAGGACCCAAAACGAUCAAUGUCACCGUUUCACUGCAUGACUUGGAACUUGCUGUGGCGAGAAGCAGCCACUCCCUACAGUCAAUUAAUCGUCUCACGGAAGAAGCCAGUGACAUGAGCAAUCAAAACUAAAUCAGGCAACAUAGUGGUUUUUUUUUUUUUUUAAGUCCUCUGUAGGCUUUCUUUUUUUUUUUACACUAGAAGGAUACUAAUGCUUGAAUCUGCCCUGAAAGCUGAGAGUAUAAACAGUGGGUGUUUAUCAAGAAAAGAUUAAUCAAAACUCUCCCACCCAGUCUAUCUCAGAUUCCCCAAUAUUUUUCAUUACAAACAUAUUUACAGCUAAAAUACAAAGUAUCUAUGAAGGGGAACAAGAUGGCGGCUAAGUGGUUUCAGAACUGGUUCAGAGGCUGGAGGAAGCAUUGGAAUAAGAAAGGGCAGGGCUUGAGAGUUUUCAGCCAGCAGUUCUAUUAUUUCUCCUUCCUACUCCUCAAGAGCCCCUGAAUCACUCAAAGGGAGAACCAUUCCCUCCAGGAUUAAGGAAGAGAAGGAAAGAGGCCCUUUAUAACCUGUCCCCAUGGCAGGAGCCCACCCCUGCCAGGUUCUGCCUCUGGUAGACAAGGGAAGAGGCAAACCCUGAAGCCACAUGGAGACAAGGGUGCCCGGUGCUCCUUACAUGCUGCCAGGCUUGGGUCUUUGUCCCAUGGUCUCACCGAAGGCGUGCCUGCCCAUGAUGGAUCCCCGGUUCUGAACAAACUGGUAUUCAACUGGCUACUUCGAGGAGGAUCCCCUGGGUCCAUCCAGAGGGACUUGGCUUCAGGUCCUCCGUCCACCCCUAACUAGGCUCGAGCAAAUACCUUAUCUCAGACACCAUUUCUGGUCUCCAAAUCAGAGGACUGUAUUCAUGACCUACUAAGGUUUCUACCAAGGAUUAAAAAGGCUAAUCACAUGAUUAAAGGCUGAUUCCUGGAGUUCCCCUGUGGCAUAGUGGGUUAAGGAUCCAGUGUCGCUGCUGUGGCUCAGGUUCGAUCCCUAGCCUGGGAAUGUUUGCAUGCUGUGGGUGCAGCCAAAUAAAAAGGUGGAUGCUAAUUCCUUUCUUCUCUACCUCACUCCACCCCUUUUCACUCACUCUGCACCAAUAACGACAUGGCCUUGGAGUUCCCACUGUGGCUUAGCAAUAACAAACCCAACUAGGAUCCAUGAGGAUGCAGGUUUGAUCCCUGGCCUUGCUCAGUGGGUUAAGGAUCCGGCAUUGCCAUGAGCUGUGGUGUAGGUCACAGACGCGGCUCACAUCCCACGUUACUGUGGUUGUAGCAGAGGCCAGCAGCCGUAGCUCCAAUUUGACCCCUAGCCUGGGAACCUCCAUAUGCUGCAGGUGUUGUCCUAAAAAAGUAAAUAAAUACUAUGGCCUUCAAACAGGGACCUCACCUCUUCUAACCUGCAUUUUUCCCUCUAAAAGAAGAUGGUACUAAAUAAACAAUAGCUUGGAUGUUCUAGGAUUAUCUCUAAGGACACAGGGAGCAAUCUUUUUUUUUUUUUUUUUUUUUUUUUUUAAUUUUCCCACUGUACAGCAAGGGGGUCAGGUACAGGGAGCAAUCUUAAGGCUUCAGAAUUUAAGGUCAGAAGGACCUAAUUCAAAUCUAGGAUAUAAAACCUAGGGACGGUGAGUGGGUAAUCCAGCCACUCUAUGCCUCAGUGUCCUCAUCUGCAAAAGGGGAUCAUAAUGGCUUGGUUGUAAGCACUAGAGCAACACGGCACAGGCUGGAUCCAGUCUGGUAUCCAGCACCAGAAGUGGGAGGUGGCGGUGGUGUCAUCAUCAUCAACUUCAGCAGCCUCACCAUCGUCAUCAUCACGUUCUGCAAUCCCACAGGACGAUCUCUUCCCCCCCUGUAAUUCAGGGAAGGCCCUCGAACCUUAUUCGCAAGGAUAAUCCGGUUAAUAGUUUCCAAUUUAAAUCCUUGCGCAGUUCAGGCUGACUCCGAGCGGAAGGGUAGGGUAAGCGGGUUCAAGGUGGCAGCAGGAUCC
RNAcentral lists this long non-coding RNA (6662 nucleotides) under Sus scrofa (pig). Its description in RNAcentral is "lncRNA (ENSSSCG00035029391.1)". Lineage: Eukaryota; Metazoa; Chordata; Mammalia; Artiodactyla; Suidae. The record is from RNAcentral.